GUGCUCACUUCGGCAGCACAUAUACUAACAGCGGAACGAUACAGAGAAGAUUAGCACGGCCCUCGUGCCAGGAUGACAUGCAAAUUUGUGAGUCGUUCCAUAUUUAA
This is a small nuclear RNA of Cercocebus atys (sooty mangabey), 107 nucleotides long. The record is from Ensembl. NCBI's taxonomy places the organism in Eukaryota, Metazoa, Chordata, Mammalia, Primates, Cercopithecidae.